Molecule: ribosomal RNA, 296 nt
Filed under: uncultured bacterium
Lineage: Bacteria
Description: partial 16S ribosomal RNA
Rfam family: Bacterial small subunit ribosomal RNA
Source: RNAcentral
GGAUUAGAUACCCUGGUAGUCCACGCUGUAAACGAUGUGUGCUAGUUGUUGGAGUCUUUAGGCUUCAGUGACGGAGAGAAAUCAUUAAGCACACCGCCUGGGGAGUACGGUCGCAAGAUUAAAACUCAAAGGAAUUGACGGGGACCCGCACAAGCGGUGGAGCAUGUUGUUUAAUUCGAAGCAACGCGAAGAACCUUACCACCCCUUGACAUCCUGGUCGGGAGGAGCAGAGACGCUCCUUUUCAGUUAGGCUGGACCAGUGACAGGUGCUGCAUGGCUGUCGUCAGCUCGUGCUG